This 316-nucleotide unclassified non-coding RNA is filed under the name Hevea brasiliensis (rubber tree). Lineage: Eukaryota; Viridiplantae; Streptophyta; Magnoliopsida; Malpighiales; Euphorbiaceae. The record is from RNAcentral.
GCCGAAAAUUCCAAGAAAGUGAUGGAGCAAGAUCAAUUUUCCCUGCUUAACUCUGACCACCUAGGCAUGUUGCUGGUUAAUGUCCCUCUCACAGGUAGUAACUAUCGUUCCUGGAGCUGGUCAAUGUUAAUUGCAUUGAGGGCCAAAGACAAACUUGGUUUUGUUAAUGAUGAAUGCCAGAAAUCGGAGGAUGGAUCUCCGGAGUCUAAGAAAUGGCUCAAGGUUGAUACCAUGGUCAUUUUCUAGAUCUUAAGUUCGAUGUCAAAAGAAAUAGUUGAAGCUUUUCUGUACGCGUCAUUUACUAAAAAUCUCUGGG